Molecule: ribosomal RNA, 583 nt
Filed under: bacterium KC4
Lineage: Bacteria
Description: bacterial SSU rRNA
Rfam family: Bacterial small subunit ribosomal RNA
Source: RNAcentral
UCCUACGGGAGGCAGCAGUGGGGAAUAUUGCACAAUGGGCGCAAGCCUGAUGCAGCGACGCCGCGUGAGGGAUGACGGCCUUCGGGUUGUAAACCUCUUUCAGUAGGGAAGAAGCGAAAGUGACGGUACCUGCAGAAGAAGCACCGGCUAACUACGUGCCAGCAGCCGCGGUAAUACGUAGGGUGCGAGCGUUAUCCGGAAUUAUUGGGCGUAAAGAGCUCGUAGGCGGUUUGUCGCGUCUGUCGUGAAAGUCCGGGGCUUAACCCCGGAUCUGCGGUGGGUACGGGCAGACUAGAGUGCAGUAGGGGAGACUGGAAUUCCUGGUGUAGCGGUGGAAUGCGCAGAUAUCAGGAGGAACACCGAUGGCGAAGGCAGGUCUCUGGGCUGUAACUGACGCUGAGGAGCGAAAGCAUGGGGAGCGAACAGGAUUAGAUACCCUGGUAGUCCAUGCCGUAAACGUUGGGCACUAGGUGUGGGGACCAUUCCACGGUUUCCGGCGCCGCAGCUAACGCAUUAAGUGCCCCGCCUGGGGAGUACGGCCGCAAGGCUAAAACUCAAAGGAAUUGACGGCGGGCGGGGGCGG